UCGAGAAUAUUCGACAAUGGGGGAAACCCUGAUCGAGCGACAUCGCGUGUGGGAUUAAGAUCUUCGGAUUGUAAACCACUUUUAUGAGGGAAGAAUUUUGACGGUACCUCAGGAAUAAGGGGUGACUAAACUCGUGCCAGCAGUAGCGGUAAUACGAGUGCCCCGAGCGUUAUCCGGAAUUAUUGGGCGUAAAGGGUCUGUAGGUGGUCUGCUAAGUUCUUCGUCAAAGCCCCAGGGCUUAACCUUGGGAAGGCGGGGAAAACUGAUAGACUAGAGGAUGUUAGGGGCUGAUGGAACACUUGGUGGAGGGGUGAAAUCCGUUGAUAUCAAGUGGAACACCAAAAGCGAAGGCAAUCAGCUAGGACAGUCCUGACACUGAAAGACGAAAGCGUGGGGAGAA
RNAcentral lists this ribosomal RNA (400 nucleotides) under uncultured bacterium. RNAcentral's name for it is "bacterial SSU rRNA". It matches the Rfam family "Bacterial small subunit ribosomal RNA", at positions 355 to 770 of the family's 1533-position model. The record is from RNAcentral.